Molecule: ribosomal RNA, 442 nt
Filed under: uncultured bacterium
Lineage: Bacteria
Description: partial 16S ribosomal RNA
Rfam family: Bacterial small subunit ribosomal RNA
Source: RNAcentral
CCUACGGGUGGCUGCAGUGGGGAAUAUUGCACAAUGGGGGAAACCCUGAUGCAGCAACGCCGCGUGGGUGAAGGAGCUUUUCGGCGCGUAAAGCCCUGUCAGCGGGGAAGAAGAAAGACGGUACCCGACCCAGCCGCCCCGGCUAACUACGUGCCAGCAGCCGCGGUAAUACGGGGGAUGCAAGCGUUAUCCGGAUUUAUUGGGUUUAAAGGGUGCGUAGGCUGUGAGGUAAGUCAGCGGUGAAAUGCCCCCGCUCAACGGGGGGAAGUGCCAUUGAUACUGCCUUGCUGGAAUGCGGAUGCCGUGGGAGGAAUGUGUGGUGUAGCGGUGAAAUGCAUAGAUAUCACACAGAACACCGAUUGCGAAGGCAUCUCACGAAGCCGCGAUUGACGCUGAUGCACGAAAGCGUGGGUAUCAAACAGGAUUAGAUACCCUAGUAGUC